AAAGACUUGACGGUACUUCACAACAGCCUAGAGGAGCCUGUCCAAUAACCGAUACCCCACGAUUAACCCGACCCACCCUAGCCUAGCAGUCUAUAUACCGCCGUCGCCAGCUUACCUUGUGAAAGAAAUAAAGUAAGUAAAAUAAGCCACCCCUAACACGACAGGUCAAGGUGUAACUAAUGGGUGGGUAAAAGAUGGGCUACAUUUUCUGCCACAGAAAACACGAAUAAAUUAUGAAACUAAAAACUGAAGGCGGAUUUAGCAGUAUGCUAAGAACAAAAUACUUAACUGAAAUCAACGCAAUGAAGUGCGUACACACCGCCCGUCAUCCCUG
This 334-nucleotide ribosomal RNA is filed under the name Phalotris lemniscatus (Dumeril's diadem snake). Its description in RNAcentral is "partial 12S ribosomal RNA". The record is from RNAcentral. Lineage: Eukaryota; Metazoa; Chordata; Lepidosauria; Squamata; Dipsadidae.